RNAcentral lists this ribosomal RNA (253 nucleotides) under uncultured bacterium. Its description in RNAcentral is "partial 16S ribosomal RNA". It matches the Rfam family "Bacterial small subunit ribosomal RNA", at positions 524 to 776 of the family's 1533-position model. The record is from RNAcentral.
UACGUAGGGUGCAAGCGUUGUCCGGAAUUAUUGGGCGUAAAGAGCUCGUAGGCGGUUUGUCACGUCGGAUGUGAAACCCUGAGGCUCAACCUCAGGCCUGCAUUCGAUACGGGCAGACUAGAAUUCGGCAGGGGAGACUGGAAUUCCUGGUGUAGCGGUGAAAUGCGCAGAUAUCAGGAGGAACACCAAUGGCGAAGGCAGCUCGCUGGGACGGUACUGACGCUGAGACGCGAAAGCGUGGGGAGCAAACAGG